RNAcentral lists this ribosomal RNA (532 nucleotides) under Bifidobacterium ruminantium. RNAcentral's name for it is "bacterial SSU rRNA". It matches the Rfam family "Bacterial small subunit ribosomal RNA", at positions 158 to 700 of the family's 1533-position model. The record is from RNAcentral. Lineage: Bacteria; Bacillati; Actinomycetota; Actinomycetes; Bifidobacteriales; Bifidobacteriaceae.
GGGUGGUAAUGCCGGAUGCUCCAGUUGGAUGCAUGUCCUUCUGGGAAAGAUUCUAUCGGUAUGGGAUGGGGUCGCGUCCUAUCAGGUAGUCGGCGGGGUAACGGCCCACCGAGCCUACGACGGGUAGCCGGCCUGAGAGGGCGACCGGCCACAUUGGGACUGAGAUACGGCCCAGACUCCUACGGGAGGCAGCAGUGGGGAAUAUUGCACAAUGGGCGCAAGCCUGAUGCAGCGACGCCGCGUGCGGGAUGACGGCCUUCGGGUUGUAAACCGCUUUUGACUGGGAGCAAGCCCUUCGGGGUGAGUGUACCUUUCGAAUAAGCACCGGCUAACUACGUGCCAGCAGCCGCGGUAAUACGUAGGGUGCAAGCGUUAUCCGGAAUUAUUGGGCGUAAAGGGCUCGUAGGCGGUUCGUCGCGUCCGGUGUGAAAGUCCAUCGCUUAACGGUGGAUCCGCGCCGGGUACGGGCGGGCUUGAGUGCGGUAGGGGAGACUGGAAUUCCCGGUGUAACGGUGGAAUGUGUAGAUAUCGG